Microcebus murinus (gray mouse lemur) is the source of this 906-nucleotide non-coding RNA. The record is from RefSeq and is a predicted model, not a curated record. Lineage: Eukaryota; Metazoa; Chordata; Mammalia; Primates; Cheirogaleidae.
UGGCCAUUACCCUAAGCGGGCACAGCUGUGUGAGGACUCCAGAAAGGCAACAGUGCAUGGAGACUCUUCACCCCCUCACCCACCUCCUCAUCUAUUUACUGGCCUAUUCCUGCGUUUACUCGUGUUUGUACUUGCUUGUUUACUUUUUUAGGAUUUUUGUAGAGGACUAGGCAGCUACCCGGGACAAAACUCACUUGGGACUCGAAAGCCCCACCCACCGGCCAAGAAAUGGCCAUUUGUUUUCAAAUACUGUACACUGGAAAAAUCCAAAGGAUUCAUCAGAUGAACAAAUUUCAAAGAGCCACUACCAAUUUUUUUUCUUAAGAAAAACAUCAAGCAUCUGAUUUGCUACUGAUAAAAUCUCUAACAGGCACUUGGAACAGAAAUGAGCUCUAUCCAAAUACCCGAAUCCAGUCAGGCCUGAUACUAUGUUCCUACCACCCUCGGAAGUGAGUUUUGAAAAUAAACACUUGAAAGUCUGCCCAGAUUGUUGUAAUCUUAUUAAUCUAACAAAGAGACUCAGUAACUGCCUCAACCAGGGGAUCAGUGUUUACCAUGUAAUUUGCAACGAGUUGAUAAACACAACCUUGCCCUACUCGAAGGAAAAUCUCAUGCUCCCUGCGAGGAAAGCAGUUGGCAGAAAACAGUAAUAGAGGAUUGGAGACCAAAAAUAGCGUGGUUUAGGAUCCAGGUCAUCUCCUCCACCCCCUGGCCUCCCUGCCCCCUGCAUCUCCAAGGUCAGAGGCAAAUGUGUGUUUUUCCUGGACUCCCAAGGAUCUGCCAGAUGUUCCUGGCUGCUCUGGGCAGUUGUCAGAGAGCUCAGGCUGAGGGAUUUCUGCCUAGGGUCUUGCCCUAUGCUCUGAGGUCGUUCUUUAUUCUCUCGCAGAUUUUAGGCCUAUUCUCUGA